This 491-nucleotide ribosomal RNA is filed under the name uncultured bacterium. Its description in RNAcentral is "partial 16S ribosomal RNA". It matches the Rfam family "Bacterial small subunit ribosomal RNA", at positions 29 to 506 of the family's 1533-position model. The record is from RNAcentral.
AGUGAACGCUGGCGGUAGGCCUAACACAUGCAAGUCGAACGGCAGCACAGUAAGAGCUUGCUCUUACGGGUGGCGAGUGGCGGACGAGUGAGGAAUACAUCGGAAUCUACUUUUUCGUGGGGGAUAACGUAGGGAAACUUACGCUAAUACCGCAUACGACCUACGGGUGAAAGCAGGGGAUCUUCGGACCUUGCGCGAUUGAAUGAGCCGAUGUCGGAUUAGCUAGUUGGCGGGGUAAAGGCCCACCAAGGCGACGAUCCGUAGCUGGUCUGAGAGGAUGACCAGCCAAACUGGAAUUGAGAACCGGCCCAGCACCCAAAGGGAGGCAGGAGGGGGGAAUUUUGGAAAAGGGGGGCAAGCCGGACCCAGCCAUACCGCGUGGGUGAAGAAGGCCUUCGGGUUGUAAACCCCUUUUGUUGGGAAAAAAAAGCAGCAGGUUAAUACCCCGCUGUUCUGCCGGUACCAAAAGAAUAAGCACCGGCUAACUUCGU